This 254-nucleotide long non-coding RNA is filed under the name Gallus gallus (chicken). Lineage: Eukaryota; Metazoa; Chordata; Aves; Galliformes; Phasianidae. The record is from RNAcentral.
GAGGUCGCCCAGCACAACGCCAGCCUGGUCACCAAAGGCGCCGGCAGCUCUCAACUCAAACGUGACUGUGCCCCUGCUAACGGGACAGGUGCUUUGCCCAGGGAGCCUCUCUCCUUCCCCCCCGCAUCUGCACGCUUCCGCUUCCUCUUCUUGCUUGCUCCUGCCUCCCAGCUCCCCACGCCGCUUCUUCUUCUUCCUUCUGCAGCAGCUCCUCACUGACACGCGGCAGACUUCCAGCCAGUGCUGCGGGGGAU